CUUUGAAAAGAGCAGGUCGCACCAGAUGUCCUCUCUGGCCUGGGCCCCGAGGGGGGAAACAGAGAAGACUAAGGUGUCAUUUUUCCACCUAGAGGGUCAGCCCUUGACAGAGAUGGAGCUGACCUCCGGCAGACACAGCCAGAAGUGAUGUGUGGUUUCCUGUCCCACUGGAUGGCCUGGACUGUAGAGGAGCUUCGGGGAUAACCUUGAGGAGGUGAUUUGAGCAUGCAGGUCGGCGUGGAAGAUGCCGCUCUGAUGGUGCCCGCGAGGGAAUUCUGAUGAAACCAGCCAGGUUUCCAAGCCAACACUCUCUCCGUGUGAAUCCAGAGUGAAGCGCUGAGCCUUCCCCAGCCUCCUGGACCAUCUGGACAGCGUCUGGGAAGUUAGCGCACCACGCGGGAGAGGCUUGCUGCUUCAAAUGGUGAAGGGAGAGCUAGGGGAUGUGGGAGAUCAUCUGGGAGGCCAGGCUUCUCGGGGGGACUGGGAUGUGCCCAGGGAGCGGGGGGUGGUCGCUGAGCUCUAGAAUUUUGUUUUCCUUUUGGUUAUCUUUACAACGUUCUUUUAUCUGUUCUAAAGGUAACCCUUCUCUGUAGUUAACUUUGUAACUUAAAGAAGUUUCUAUAGAACCA
This is a long non-coding RNA of Felis catus (domestic cat), 629 nucleotides long. RefSeq lists it as uncharacterized. NCBI's taxonomy places the organism in Eukaryota, Metazoa, Chordata, Mammalia, Carnivora, Felidae. The transcript has 2 exons. The record is from RefSeq and is a predicted model, not a curated record.